UUGAAUGUAUAGGGAAUUGGAAGGGACCAUUUCCAUGGGCCAUCUGUUUCACAGGCUGCAGCGCUAACAAAGGAUCGCAGGAUGGUUUUAGUGCAUGUUGGAUAUCUGGUCCUUCCCGUUUUUGGCUCAGUGAGAAAUAGAGUAUCGAGGCUGGCUCUACAUUCUGCAUUUAUCAGAUCUUUGUCCCCCCUCCAUUGUGUAGCUAAUGAUCAUCUGCUGGCUGUGUGGUGUGGCCUCUGCCUGUACUCUGCAUUUAGCUGUAUUGUGAAUCCCCUCUUCCUCAUUUCCUCUUUCCAUCAGAAGACGACAUUGGCAUUAAAGAGAGAACUCACUCAUACAGUAUCCUCCUGUGUAACAGACUAAAAAAUAACCUUCUAUAGAAAACCUUUGUCUUUUCUGUCAAGUUGCUGUAUACUAAAUAACCCAUUGUAGCAAUAGAAAUUAAAACAAAUGUCAUUGUGUACCUCCCAUCCAGUCUUGAUAGACUAGCUACAUUAUGCUGUAAAUUCUUGUAAAGUGGAUACAUUUUGCUUAUUAUAGUUUCGAUUAUAGCUGGGCUUGAUCGAACUCAAAGAUUUUGUCUCCAUUUUCUCCCUUUAAAGGUGCAUUGUACCAAAAAUGAAUGUAUUCUGAAUGAAACCGAAUACUUGAUACUUCAUCACGUUUCAUUUUACCCCAAAUUCAGAUCGCCUCGUUGCAGGUUUUCAGCUGUCGCCUUAAGAAUAGCGUCGGCCGAAAUUAUUUUCGAAAUUAUUUGCUUAAUUGGCAAUCGAGAAAUACCCUGAAAUCCUUUUAACGAAAUGGCACACUGCACCUGCUUUAAUGGUUGAACAGCCCAUCAUAAUCCCGUUCAUGUGUACGACCCUUUGUUUCCUUGAAAUUUAAAAAACAAUUUCUAGCUAUUCUAUAUAUGGCUAGACAAAUCCCAAGCAAUUUUUCCCAUGAGAAUUCUCUCCCCGUGGCUUCCUGCUAUGCAAAUUUUACACGUAUUACCUAAGUACAAAAUGCUAUCCAUUUCACAGGGAUGUUUAUUUCUUGCACUGCUAUAGAAGUCCUUUUUUAGAAUCGAAAAUGUCUUAUUCUUUGGUUUGUGGUUCUCUGCCUUUUGUUCUUGUAUUAGAGUUUAAUGCAUGGUCAUGUUUUAUUCUUUUUGUUUUACAUUGAAUAGCGAAUUCCAAUGUAAUCUUUCUGUAGAAAAGAUGUACCCUGCUGUACUGUAAUGUGCUGUAGCAUACACAUCUGCUCAUUGGAUGCUACUUUUGUUCUGUUAACCCUAUACUGAGCAUGGUGGGUCUUGCCUUCAGUCUUUUUUUGCAUGGAAUUUAUUAUUACACAGUUCCACAUAUACUAAUAUUUUUCAAUAAAGAAUAUAGUAUUUUUCCUAA
RNA transcript from Brienomyrus brachyistius, 1385 nucleotides. It is a transcript of the gene named ring finger protein 165a, with no coding region annotated. Lineage: Eukaryota; Metazoa; Chordata; Actinopteri; Osteoglossiformes; Mormyridae. The record is from RefSeq and is a predicted model, not a curated record. The transcript has 2 exons.